AGUGAACGCUGGCGGUAGGCCUAACACAUGCAAGUCGAACGGCAGCACAGUAAGAGCUUGCUCUUACGGGUGGCGAGUGGCGGACGGGUGAGGAAUACAUCGGAAUCUACUUUUUCGUGGGGGAUAACGUAGGGAAACUUACGCUAAUACCGCAUAUGAUCUACGGGUGAAAGCAGGGGAUAUUCGGACCUUGCGCGAUUGAAUGAGCCGAUGUCGGAUUAGCUAGUUGGCGGGGUAAAGGCCCACCAAGGCGACGAUCCGUAGCUGGUCUGAGAGGAUGAUCGGCCACACUGGAACUGAGACACGGUCCAGACUCCUACGGGAGGCAGCAGUGGGGAAUAUUGGACAAUGGGCGCAAGCCUGAUGCAGCCAUACCGCGUGGGUGAAGAAGGCCUUCGGGUUGUAAAGCCCUUUUGUUGGGAAAGAAAAGCAGCAGGUUAAUACCCCGCUGUUCUGACGGUACCCAAAGAAUAAGCACCGGCUAACUACGUG
RNAcentral lists this ribosomal RNA (492 nucleotides) under uncultured bacterium. RNAcentral's name for it is "partial 16S ribosomal RNA". It matches the Rfam family "Bacterial small subunit ribosomal RNA", at positions 29 to 507 of the family's 1533-position model. The record is from RNAcentral.